UACAGAGGGGGCAAGCGUUGUUCGGAUUUACUGGGCGUAAAGGGCGCGUAGGCGGCGUAACAAGUCACUUGUGAAAUCUCCGGGCUUAACCCGGAGCGGCCAAGUGAUACUGUUGUGCUAGAGUGCGGAAGGGGCUACUGGAAUUCUCGGUGUAGCGGUGAAAUGCGCAGAUAUCAGGAGGAACACCUAUUGCGAAGGCAGCUCGCUGGGACGUAACUGACGCUGAGACGCGAAAGCGUGGGGAGCAAACAGG
Molecule: ribosomal RNA, 253 nt
Filed under: uncultured bacterium
Lineage: Bacteria
Description: partial 16S ribosomal RNA
Rfam family: Bacterial small subunit ribosomal RNA
Source: RNAcentral